RNAcentral lists this ribosomal RNA (290 nucleotides) under uncultured bacterium. Its description in RNAcentral is "partial 16S ribosomal RNA". It matches the Rfam family "Bacterial small subunit ribosomal RNA", at positions 62 to 353 of the family's 1533-position model. The record is from RNAcentral.
UCGAACGGCACCCCUCUCCGGAGGGAAGCGAGUGGCGAACGGCUGAGUAACACGUGGAGAACCUGCCCCCUCCCCCGGGAUAGCCGCCCGAAAGGACGGGUAAUACCGGAUACCCCCGGGCGCCGCAUGGCGCCCGGGCUAAAGCCCCGACGGGAGGGGAUGGCUCCGCGGCCCAUCAGGUAGACGGCGGGGUGACGGCCCACCAAGCCGACGAUCAGUAGCCGACCUGAGAGGGUGACCGGCCACAUUGGGACUGAGACACGGCCCAGACUCCUACGGGAGGCAGCAUG